UGUCUCAAAGAUUAAGCCAUGCAUGUCUCAGUACAAGCCACAUUAAGGUGAAACCGCGAAAGGCUCAUUAAAUCAGUUAUGGUUCCUUAGAUCGUACCCACAUUUACUUGGAUAACUGUGGUAAUUCUAGAGCUAAUACAUGCAAACAGAGUUCCGCCCGGAGACGGGCGGGAUGCUUUUAUUAGAUCAAAACCAAUCGGUGGUGGUGACUCUGAAUAACUUUCGGCUGAUCGCACGGUCUCGCACCGGCGACGCAUCUUUCAAAUGUCUGCCUUAUCAACUGUCGAUGGUAGGUUCUGCGCCUACCAUGGUCGUAACGGGUAACGGGGAAUCAGGGUUCGAUUCCGGAGAGGGAGCCUGAGAAACGGCUACCACAUCCAAGGAAGGCAGCAGGCGCGCAAAUUACCCACUCCCGGCACGGGGAGGUAGUGACGAAAAAUAACGAUCGGGACUCAUCCGAGGCCCCGUAAUCGGAAUGAGUACACUUUAAAUCCUUUAACGAGGAUCAAUUGGAGGGCAAGUCUGGUGCCAGCAGCCGCGGUAAUUCCAGCUCCAAUAGCGUA
Molecule: ribosomal RNA, 563 nt
Filed under: Lancetes lanceolatus
Lineage: Eukaryota; Metazoa; Arthropoda; Insecta; Coleoptera; Dytiscidae
Description: SSU rRNA
Rfam family: Eukaryotic small subunit ribosomal RNA
Source: RNAcentral